This 1419-nucleotide ribosomal RNA is filed under the name Vibrio parahaemolyticus. Its description in RNAcentral is "bacterial SSU rRNA". It matches the Rfam family "Bacterial small subunit ribosomal RNA". The record is from RNAcentral. Lineage: Bacteria; Pseudomonadati; Pseudomonadota; Gammaproteobacteria; Vibrionales; Vibrionaceae.
GGACGGGUGAGUAAUGCCUAGGAAAUUGCCCUGAUGUGGGGGAUAACCAUUGGAAACGAUGGCUAAUACCGCAUGAUGCCUACGGGCCAAAGAGGGGGACCUUCGGGCCUCUCGCGUCAGGAUAUGCCUAGGUGGGAUUAGCUAGUUGGUGAGGUAAGGGCUCACCAAGGCGACGAUCCCUAGCUGGUCUGAGAGGAUGAUCAGCCACACUGGAACUGAGACACGGUCCAGACUCCUACGGGAGGCAGCAGUGGGGAAUAUUGCACAAUGGGCGCAAGCCUGAUGCAGCCAUGCCGCGUGUGUGAAGAAGGCCUUCGGGUUGUAAAGCACUUUCAGUCGUGAGGAAGGUAGUGUAGUUAAUAGCUGCAUUAUUUGACGUUAGCGACAGAAGAAGCACCGGCUAACUCCGUGCCAGCAGCCGCGGUAAUACGGAGGGUGCGAGCGUUAAUCGGAAUUACUGGGCGUAAAGCGCAUGCAGGUGGUUUGUUAAGUCAGAUGUGAAAGCCCGGGGCUCAACCUCGGAAUUGCAUUUGAAACUGGCAGACUAGAGUACUGUAGAGGGGGGUAGAAUUUCAGGUGUAGCGGUGAAAUGCGUAGAGAUCUGAAGGAAUACCGGUGGCGAAGGCGGCCCCCUGGACAGAUACUGACACUCAGAUGCGAAAGCGUGGGGAGCAAACAGGAUUAGAUACCCUGGUAGUCCACGCCGUAAACGAUGUCUACUUGGAGGUUGUGGCCUUGAGCCGUGGCUUUCGGAGCUAACGCGUUAAGUAGACCGCCUGGGGAGUACGGUCGCAAGAUUAAAACUCAAAUGAAUUGACGGGGGCCCGCACAAGCGGUGGAGCAUGUGGUUUAAUUCGAUGCAACGCGAAGAACCUUACCUACUCUUGACAUCCAGAGAACUUUCCAGAGAUGGAUUGGUGCCUUCGGGAACUCUGAGACAGGUGCUGCAUGGCUGUCGUCAGCUCGUGUUGUGAAAUGUUGGGUUAAGUCCCGCAACGAGCGCAACCCUUAUCCUUGUUUGCCAGCGAGUAAUGUCGGGAACUCCAGGGAGACUGCCGGUGAUAAACCGGAGGAAGGUGGGGACGACGUCAAGUCAUCAUGGCCCUUACGAGUAGGGCUACACACGUGCUACAAUGGCGCAUACAGAGGGCGGCCAACUUGCGAAAGUGAGCGAAUCCCAAAAAGUGCGUCGUAGUCCGGAUUGGAGUCUGCAACUCGACUCCAUGAAGUCGGAAUCGCUAGUAAUCGUGGAUCAGAAUGCCACGGUGAAUACGUUCCCGGGCCUUGUACACACCGCCCGUCACACCAUGGGAGUGGGCUGCAAAAGAAGUAGGUAGUUUAACCUUCGGGGGGACGCUUACCACUUUGUGGUUCAUGACUGGGGUGAAGUCGUAACAAGGUAGCGCUAGGGGAACCUGG